GGGAAUUUUCCGCAAUGGGCGCAAGCCUGACGGAGCAACGCCGCGUGAGGGAUGAAGGUUUUCGGAUCGUAAACCUCUGUCUAGAGGGACGAUAAUGACGGUACCUCUGGAGGAAGCCACGGCUAACUACGUGCCAGCAGCCGCGGUAAUACGUAGGUGGCAAGCGUUGUCCGGAAUUACUGGGCGUAAAGGGCGUGUAGGCGGCCUGUCAAGUCAGACGUGAAAUCCCUGGGCUUAACCCAGGAACUGCGUUUGAAACUGACGGGCUUGAGGAUCGGAGAGGGCAGUGGAAUUCCCAGUGUAGCGGUGAAAUGCGUAGAUAUUGGGAGGAACACCAGUGGCGAAGGCGACUGCCUGGACGACACCUGACGCUGAGGCGCGAAAGCUAGGGGAGCAAACGGGAUUAGA
Molecule: ribosomal RNA, 408 nt
Filed under: uncultured bacterium
Lineage: Bacteria
Description: bacterial SSU rRNA
Rfam family: Bacterial small subunit ribosomal RNA
Source: RNAcentral